CCGCGUGAGUGAUGAAGGUUUUCGGAUCGUAAAGCUCUGUUGUUAGGGAAGAACAAGUGCCGUUCAAAUAGGGCGGCACCUUGACGGUACCUAACCAGAAAGCCACGGCUAACUACGUGCCAGCAGCCGCGGUAAUACGUAGGUGGCAAGCGUUGUCCGGAAUUAUUGGGCGUAAAGGGCUCGCAGGCGGUUUCUUAAGUCUGAUGUGAAAGCCCCCGGCUCAACCGGGGAGGGUCAUUGGAAACUGGGGAACUUGAGUGCAGAAGAGGAGAGUGGAAUUCCACGUGUAGCGGUGAAAUGCGUAGAGAUGUGGAGGAACACCAGUGGCGAAGGCGACUCUCUGGUCUGUAACUGACGCUGAGGAGCGAAAGCGUGGGGAGCGAACAGGAUUAGAUACCCUGGUAGUCCACGCCGUAAACGAUGAGUGCUAAGUGUUAGGGGGUUUCCGCCCCUUAGUGCUGCAGCUAACGCAUUAAGCACUCCGCCUGGGGAGUACGGUCGCAAGACUGAAACUCAAAGGAAUUGACGGGGGCCCGCACAAGCGGUGGAGCAUGUGGUUUAAUUCGAAGCAACGCGAAGAACCUUACCAGGUCUUGACAUCCUCUGACAAUCCUAGAGAUAGGACGUCCCCUUCGGGGGCAGAGUGACAGGUGGUGCAUGGUUGUCGUCAGCUCGUGUCGUGAGAUGUUGGGUUAAGUCCCGCAACGAGCGCAACCCUUGAUCUUAGUUGCCAGCAUUCAGUUGGGCACUCUAAGGUGACUGCCGGUGACAAACCGGAGGAAGGUGGGGAUGACGUCAAAUCAUCAUGCCCCUUAUGACCUGGGCUACACACGUGCUACAAUGGACAGAACAAAGGGCAGCGAAACCGCG
Molecule: ribosomal RNA, 870 nt
Filed under: Bacillus sp. (in: firmicutes)
Lineage: Bacteria; Bacillati; Bacillota; Bacilli; Caryophanales; Bacillaceae
Description: bacterial SSU rRNA
Rfam family: Bacterial small subunit ribosomal RNA
Source: RNAcentral